GUGAGUCCACGCUUGGUGACAUACAUCUGUGAUCUCCUCACUUGGCAAGGGGAGGCAGAAGUCUCUGGCGUUCGAUGUCAUCUUUUACUUCAUAGUUUGAUGUCAAUCUGGACUACAUGAGACCCUGGAUCAAGCCCUCCCCCUCACACAAAGAAAACACUGAAACUGUAGAUGAAUGAAUGAAUGAGGGAGAAGAGGAAAAAGCCAGGAACUUUCUCACAGGUCUGGGUAGAACUGACUCCAUAAGAUAUCAAAUUGGGGUUCGAGGACAGCCUGGUUUACAAAGUGGGUUCCAGAACAGCCAGGGCUGUUACACUUAGAAACCCUCUCUUGAAAAACUAAAUAAUAAUAAUAAUAAUUAUUAUUAUAAUUAUUAUUAUUAUUAAAGCAAGUUGGGGUGCAAGCUUUUAAUCCUAGCACUCAGAAGUCUGAGGAACUCUGUGAAUUCAAGGCCAGCCUGCUGUAUCCAGCAAGCUCCAGGCCAGUCUGGACUAAAUGGGGAGAUCUUGUCUCAGAAAAUAAACUAACAAACAAACAGGACACUCGAGUUGUGAAGCUAGGAUCACUUUUUCGUCUCUUUUUUUCUGGUUUCCUACUCUUCUCCCUUUCCAAGUCUGAGAGUCCAAGAAGAGACCCACACUGAGCGGCAGGAAUGGACGAUUGGCUGCUGGAGUGGAGCACGGCUGCCCUCUGGUGGCGACCUGGAGUGAGCCCCUGGGAAUGGCACGUGGCGAGGGCAUUAGCGAGCUGGGGAGAAUGGAAGAAACUUCUAGGUUUCUGGUGGAAAGAGACAGAGACAGAGCAGGACAUCAGGCACACUGCUUUGGCCUCUCCACCCAAACACAAAUACAACACACACACACACACACACACACACACACACACACACACACACACACACACUCACUCUCACACACAAUGCAAUUCUGAUUCUGGUUGGUUUGGAACUUCGCUAAGAAGAUAAGGCUGGCCUUGAACUCACAGAGAUCUGCCUGCCUCUGCUUCCCAAGGGAUUAAAGGCAUAGGCUACCACUUGCAGUCCCCAACUGUUUUGUUUGUUCGUUUGGUUGUUUUUUGCUUUUAAAUAUAGAAAUACAAUCAAGCUGGAAGUCCAUCUGCCAAAGCUACGGUAUGGUGGCUUUUCUGUUUUAAAACCAAAAGUCAUGUCCCUGCUUGUCUCUGGAAGCCUAAGACGUCUUGGAAGCUGAGACAGAAGGAUGAGUCUGUCAGAUGGUUCUGGGCCAGAAGGCUGGCGACUGAUACUCCAACGUUUUGAGGAAUGAGGGACUGUCCGAGUAGUCAUCUGUCUCUACAAAUUGGUUAAGUUUUGGAAGCUAUGGUUUGUGCUCCCCAUAUCUUCAGCUCCCAAAAGCCGCACUUCCAGACCCAAGGGUCUCUGCCCUCACCUGACAUUGAUUGAUAAUAAAGACUUGCCAUGGGCUGGAGAGAUGGCUCAGUGGUUAAGAGCACCCGACUACUCUUCCAGAGGUCCUGAGUUCAAUUUCCAGCAACCACAUGGUGGCUCACAACCAUCUGUAAAGAGAUCCAAUGCCCUCUUCUGGUGUAUCUGAAGACAGCUAUUAGUGUACUUAUAUAUAAUAAAUGAAUAAAUCUUUAAAAAAAAAAAAGACUUGCCAUACAGCCAAUGGCUGGGCACAGAGAUAGGGCAU
Rattus norvegicus (Norway rat) is the source of this 1670-nucleotide non-coding RNA. Lineage: Eukaryota; Metazoa; Chordata; Mammalia; Rodentia; Muridae. The record is from RefSeq and is a predicted model, not a curated record.